RNAcentral lists this ribosomal RNA (407 nucleotides) under uncultured bacterium. Its description in RNAcentral is "partial 16S ribosomal RNA". It matches the Rfam family "Bacterial small subunit ribosomal RNA", at positions 28 to 526 of the family's 1533-position model. The record is from RNAcentral.
GACGAACGCUGGCGGCGUGCCUAAUACAUGCAAGUAGGACGCAGUUGCGAACGGGUGAGUAACGCGUAGGUAACUGCCUAUUAGAGGGGGAUAACUAUUGGAAACGAUAGCUAAUACCGCAUACGCCAUGAUGGACCCGCGGUGCAUUAGCUAGUUGGUGGGGUAACGGCUCACCAAGGCCACGAUGCCUAGCCGACCUGAGAGGGGGAUCGGCAACACUGGGACGGAGAAACGGCCCAGACUCCUACGGGAGGCAGCAGUAGGGAAUCUUCGGCAAUGUGGGGAACCCUGACCGAGCAACGCCGCGUGAGGGAAGAAGGUUUUCGGAUCGUAAAGCUCUGUUGUUAAGGAAGCGGUACUUAACCAGAAAGGGACGGCUAACUACGUGCCAGCAGCCGCGGUAAUUC